GAUGAACGCUGGCGGCGUGCCUAAUACAUGCAAGUCGAGCGAACAGACGAGGAGCUUGCUCCUCUGACGUUAGCGGCGGACGGGUGAGUAACACGUGGAUAACCUACCUAUAAGACUGGGAUAACUUCGGGAAACCGGAGCUAAUACCGGAUAAUAUAUUGAACCGCAUGGUUCAAUAGUGAAAGACGGUUUUGCUGUCACUUAUAGAUGGAUCCGCGCCGCAUUAGCUAGUUGGUAAGGUAACGGCUUACCAAGGCAACGAUGCGUAGCCGACCUGAGAGGGGGUUGCGCCCCCGGGGAGCUGAGCCGCGGCCCAGGCCCUGAGGGAAGGCCGAGGUGGGGACGUUACGGAAAAGGGGGAAACCCUGCCGGAUGAGCGGCGGGGGGGUGAAGAAGUGCUGCGGGUGGGAAAACGGUUUUAUGGGGGAAAAACAAUUUGGUAAGUAACGAAGCCCGUGUGAAGGUAACCGAUAAAGAAACCCCGGCUUACUACGGG
This 496-nucleotide ribosomal RNA is filed under the name uncultured bacterium. RNAcentral's name for it is "partial 16S ribosomal RNA". It matches the Rfam family "Bacterial small subunit ribosomal RNA", at positions 28 to 507 of the family's 1533-position model. The record is from RNAcentral.